GUCGAGCGGGGAAGAGUAGCUUGCUACUUGACCUAGCGGCGGACGGGUGAGUAAUGCUUAGGAAUCUGCCUAUUAGUGGGGGACAACAUCUCGAAAGGGAUGCUAAUACCGCAUACGUCCUACGGGAGAAAGCAGGGGACCUUCGGGCCUUGCGCUAAUAGAUGAGCCUAAGUCGGAUUAGCUAGUUGGUGGGGUAAAGGCCUACCAAGGCGACGAUCUGUAGCGGGUCUGAGAGGAUGAUCCGCCACACUGGGACUGAGACACGGCCCAGACUCCUACGGGAGGCAGCAGUGGGGAAUAUUGGACAAUGGGGGGAACCCUGAUCCAGCCAUGCCGCGUGUGUGAAGAAGGCCUUUUGGUUGUAAAGCACUUUAAGCGAGGAGGAGGCUACCGAGAUUAAUACUCUUGGAUAGUGGACGUUACUCGCAGAAUAAGCACCGGCUAACUCUGUGCCAGCAGCCGCGGUAAUACAGAGGGUGCAAGCGUUAAUCGGAUUUACUGGGCGUAAAGCGCGCGUAGGUGGCCAAUUAAGUCAAAUGUGAAAUCCCCGAGCUUAACUUGGGAAUUGCAUUCGAUACUGGUUGGCUAGAGUAUGGGAGAGGAUGGUAGAAUUCCAGGUGUAGCGGUGAAAUGCGUAGAGAUCUGGAGGAAUACCGAUGGCGAAGGCAGCCAU
Molecule: ribosomal RNA, 673 nt
Filed under: Acinetobacter lwoffii
Lineage: Bacteria; Pseudomonadati; Pseudomonadota; Gammaproteobacteria; Moraxellales; Moraxellaceae
Description: bacterial SSU rRNA
Rfam family: Bacterial small subunit ribosomal RNA
Source: RNAcentral